CCUACGGGAGGCAGCAGUGAGGAAUAUUGGUCAAUGGGCGAGAGCCUGAACCAGCCAAGUCGCGUGAAGGAUGACGGCCCUACGGGUUGUAAACUUCUUUUGUCAGGGAGCAAUUGGGUCCACGCGUGGGCUUAGCGAGAGUACCUGAAGAAAAAGCAUCGGCUAACUCCGUGCCAGCAGCCGCGGUAAUACGGAGGAUGCGAGCGUUCUCCGGAUUUAUUGGGUUUAAAGGGUGCGUAGGCGGAAUAUCAAGUCAGCGGUAAAAAUUCGGGGCUCAACCCCGUCGUGCCGUUGAAACUGAUGGUCUUGAGUGGGCGAGAAGUAUGCGGAAUGCGUGGUGUAGCGGUGAAAUGCAUAGAUAUCACGCAGAACUCCGAUUGCGAAGGCAGCAUACCGGCGCCCAACUGACGCUGAAGCACGAAAGCGUGGGUAUCGAACAGGAUUAGAUACCCUGGUAGUC
This 460-nucleotide ribosomal RNA is filed under the name uncultured bacterium. Its description in RNAcentral is "partial 16S ribosomal RNA". It matches the Rfam family "Bacterial small subunit ribosomal RNA", at positions 338 to 795 of the family's 1533-position model. The record is from RNAcentral.